Molecule: long non-coding RNA, 4806 nt
Organism: Saccostrea echinata
Lineage: Eukaryota; Metazoa; Mollusca; Bivalvia; Ostreida; Ostreidae
Exons: 6
Source: RefSeq, a predicted model, not a curated record
GUUUCCAUGAUCCUUAUUCAUCCACAACAGGAAAAGGAAUAAAGUUGACAGGACUUUCCGCACUGUCAGUGGUAGCAGCUUAUGAUGGAACUAACAACAGUGGACAUAGCCCGCUUCAUCAAAGAUGCACCAGACGCAGCGGCACUAUCUCCAUCACUGAUGAAAUGGGAAAUGACGAGUGGAUGGUCAUCAGUUUGUAACUCCCCGAUACAGUUUGCAGCCCAUCUCUUCUCAUCUCCAAAGCUGAUUCAAUAUUUGCACCAAGAAGCAUACCACGCAUACAUUCUGUUGUAAGACUGGUACCCAGGUGACCGACAGCCAUGGCCACAUUUAGCUGUGCAGCUCUUCGUCCCCUUCCAGAUCUCCUCAAGCUUUUCUGAGUGACUGGUAUAGUGGCACUUCUUACAUCGGAUGGAAAGGAUCCAUGCCAGGCCUCGUUUUUCCUCCCCAUGCUGAUUCCAGUUCAUUGAACUGUCACAGUCUGGAAACUUAUAACUGCCUGGUCUUCUAAGAGAAACUCCAUUCUUUGAUGACUGAUGGAAAAGUUUAUUUUAGAGCUGCCUGGUCUUCUAAGAGAAACUCCAUUCCUUGAUGACUGAUGGAAAAGCCUCAUCACCCCCACUGCUAAAGAACCCCUUAUCUUAAUCACCAGCCAUUAAUCAGUGAUCACUUAUCAAAGCUCCAAGGUGCGCAUAAUUCAACUUCCUGGAUGUUGUGUAGGCUGGCUGUUUGUCAAGAUGUGAAACCCAUGCAGAUGUAUUUCGGGACUAACCAUCAUGAGAAAUGUCAACACUCCAGGAUAGUGCAUUCACCAGUGAUGAUCUGGUAUUAUUGCAAGAACAAGUGAAACACCAGUGGAAGGAAGAGCCCUGGAAAGACUUGCUUGAUCUAUGUACAAAGACAAAUUUAUUUGCCUGGAAGAAAAAUAUUGUACUUGACUUAGUGGAUAUGAUUUUUUAAAAAAGGUUUAAAUUAUUUAUUACAUAAUAUGUAGUAUAGUUUACAUAAAAGGAACAAAGCCAGAGAAUUUAUUUAAUAAUUGUAAAAUACAAUUUUUUAUAUAUUCUGAUGUAUAUAUAGUAUAAAUUGUGUAGCUAUUAAAUUAAAUUCCCUAAGUAAAUCAUGUCAACCUGUUAAAUACAAAAAAUAUGUUGCUUAUCCAAUUUAAAGGUCAGGUAAAAAGUAAAUAUUUUGGGUACCUGCAGUUGUCUUUCAUCAAGGUCAUAAUCUUUUAACACAAAUUUGUCAAAGUAGUUGCCAAUUGGUGUAAACCCUUUGUAUAGCAGAAGUUGCUGCAUAUAGCUUUGGAGUGCAUUUGGGAAGCUCUGCAAGUGGGAUAAAUAAAGGAUAAUCAUUGUUUUUUAGCUCUACUGGUCAGAGACCAGAAGAGCUUAUGCGGUAGUAAGGUGUCCGUCGUCCGUCCUUCUGUCUGUCUGUAAACAAUUUUUCAAAACGCUACUCCGCCUACAGUUUUAGUCUGAUUUCAGUAUAACUUGGCACACAAGUAGUCUACAGUAAGAUACAUAAUUCUGUGUAUUGGUUUUAUAUUUCAAUGAACGGUGUUGAUAUGGUUACUAAAAAUAGAGAUUUCUGGGAAGUACUUUCUAAACGCUACUCCUCCUACAGUAUUGGUCUGAUUUCAAUAUAAAUUAGCAGACAAGUAGACUACACUAAGAUACAUAAUUCUGUGUAUAGGUUUUUGAUUUCAAUAAACGGUGUUGACAUGGUUACUAAAAAUAGAAAUUUCUACUCCUCCUACAGUUUUGAUCUGAUUUCAGUAUAACUUGGCAGCCAAGUAGACUACACUAAGAUACAUAAUUGUCUUUAUAUAUAUUUUUUUUUGAUUUUGUUGACUGAUGUUGCCAUGGUUACUAAAAUCAAAAUUUCUGUUAAAGACUUUUAAAAGGUUAUUCCUCCUAAAGUUUUGAUGAUUGCAAUAAAUCUUGCUACAAAAAGAGACUAAACCAAGGAUCAUUAUUCUAUUUAUUCCUGUUGCAAAGUUUCAAGUCCUAGUGCUACUUUAAUCUUCCUUUGUUAUAAGGACAAACCAGUAGUGUUACAGUCUCAUCAGAGACUUCUGGUUUUAGUUUGAUAUGGAAUUUAUUUAAAGAAAGGGACACAAUUGUAAAGCAUCAAUGAAAAUAUAAUUAUAUAUUAAAACAAUGUUUGUGUCACAAGUGAAAUAAAUUCGAUGUUCAACUACAAAAAAUUGUAUUGAGUUUUAUACAUUGAAAUAAAAAGUAAAGUAUUUAAUGUUGAAAAGAAGGAUGUUGUUUGUUUUUUUUUAAGACAAGCAUAGUACAAAAAAAAUGUAUAUCAAAAUGUGGAUUAAUAUGCAUUUACGAUUUUUUUUUCACAUUGUUCAUUGACAAGUAGGUAAAUGAUUUAGCAUGGUUAGUUUUGAUUGUCAGGUUUCAGAAUGUUUUGAGUAUUGUAAAUGAUAUGAUGUAUAGUUAACUACCUAACAUUAAAACUUCCUGUUGUAAUAAGGGACUAGGGGGAGGAUUGUAAACUCUGUAUUAAUUGAAUGUAAAUUUUGUUCCUUACAUUUUGCAUUCAUGUUUGGAUUUCUGAAGAUUGGUUUUCUAUUUUUUAAUAUUAGAUUUGUUAGCAAAGGAGUGGUUAUUAUUGAUAAUAAUGUAGAAGGAGGGAAAAAUAGGGGGAUAAAAAUUAAUGGAUUUCUGAUUUUAAAAUGAUUUGAUAGGGUAUUUUUUUCGGUUGUUUUUAAAUUAAUUUUAUUAAGAGGUAAAAAAAAAAAAAUCAGGAAAUUUACUCCUCAAUAAAUAUUUAGUUUCAUACAAUACCUCAAAUGCAGUGGAUCCAAUCUCAAUAAAUUGUUGAUUUGAAUUAUUCUCGGGCUGUUGUUCAAUUUUAUUUUCUUGAACACUUGUUGUUUUGGAUUUUCCAUUUGCUAAAAUUGUUAAUCAGAUGUUAGUUCAUUUCAAUUUUUAUGGGAAGGGGAGUGUAAUUCCAACUCAAUUUUGGUAUAGUUUGUGCAUCUGUCUGUCUGUCAAUUAACUGGGAAUUCUGGAGAAGAUGAACAAAAAUCAAUCUAGCUUACAAAAAAGAAUUGUUUGGGAAAGUUGAUUGAUAUUUGUUCAAAUGGAGUACACAGACAUAUUUCGAAGAAGUAUGAUCAAGAAGAGACUAAAAUAAUGGAAAUAUUUAUUAAACCAUAUGAUUCAAUAAAGUUAAUAUAAAGGUCUCUGGGGUGAGGGUUGGGGUCAUUAUUGGGGAUCAAAGAGGAAAAUGGUAUGUAAUUUAUCAUUAGAAUAUAGGGGUUAAUAAGUGUACUAUUUUUAUAAAAAAAAACAAGGUAGAUAUUUCUAUGUAAACAUCACCUUAUAAAAUUAGGUGGGUUUCUUCUAAAUAAUUAUCCCUUGAAGUGAGAUUAGGCCACAAUAGAGAAGGAAAGGCAAUCUAAUAUGGUCAUCAAGAUUGAUAUUCAUUUUAAUGUAAGUUUUAUGUAUUUAAAACAGUUUUGGAAUCAUUACUCCAAGGGCUAGGAUGGGAGGAAUUGUAUGAAAAACAGCAUGGCUUAAGUGAUUAGGGGGAGCAUUUUGGCCCAUGGGCCUCUUAAUUUGAUUUGAUUAUAUUAACGUAUAUUAGAAAUUGUCUUGUAAUACAUGAGAAAAGAUAGUAAAAUUGAUUGUAUAAAUUUAUAUGUUCUGGAUAGGCUAUAGAUUCUUGAAAUAGUAGUUUGUUUUCAUGGUUAAAAUACUUGCCCUUCCUUGGGGUUCCUCGUAUUUUUCUUUUGAGUGUUGGAAUCUUCAAAAGGUCGAGUUUGUUUUCAUUAUUAAUUAUAACUUCCUUAGAAAAAUGGCCGUCUGUAGGGAAAUAUAAAAUAUAAUAUAACAUUAUUUGAAAAUUGGAUUAAGAUGUUUCUACGUAGUUACAAGAUUUGUGCUUUUAAAACAAAAGAUGAAAAAAAAAAAUGGAUAAGAAAGUCUUUUUAGAUAAAGAAGAUGGGUGAACAUGAAGACAGAAAAGCCUAUAGUGUGAGGAACAUGAAGGUGAAAAAUUAAAUCUCAAUUAUAUCAAAAUUUUCCUUAAUAUUGGGUUUAACAUUAAAAUAUACUUUAUGAAAAAUCUCUGAAAUUUGCAAAAAUCUCGCAAAGAUUUAAAUUAUUUGCCCAUGAAAUAUUAUACACACUAUGAAAUAUUAUACACACAAUAAAGAGGGCAAAAUGAGUCAUUUUCUAAUUCUAUAACAUUUUUUUUUAGAUAAGAGUGGGUCUUCUUUCCAUUUUUUUUUUUUUGCUAGUUAAUCUUGAAAGUUUGCAUAAAAAUAUACAUUUUUUGGUUACCAAGAACAUGGAGCAAAGACCUACUAUACAUUAAAAAUACAUUUUAUGACAUAACAUUCGCAUAUUUUAGAGAAAUACUUAAGUCCAUUAAGUCAAGGGUCAUAUCACAAACAUGAUUUAAAUGCCACUAUUUGUCAGGACUAGUGUUUAGCGUGCUAGUCUCGAAAGAAAAUGAUACUCAGGAGUUCAAUCCCCGCGAGUACCACAUCUUUUAAUAAAAAUAAAUUUUGACGAGAAAAUUUUCCUCAUAAAAGUUUUAUUUAUGAUGAUUUCAUAAACUUCAAUAAUGAGAAGGUUACUCUAAAUACAAAAUUCACAAAUUUCACAUGAUUUUUAAAAUAUCUUAAGGUAUAGGCUUUCUGAAGGAUGUUCACAUAUUUCCUUUUGGGGAACAGUUUUGUGUUAACAGUAGUUUGAGAUUUGGGUUUGAUGAAUGUGAUGAGCAAUAAUCUUGAAAAAUAAUGCAUUUUGUGAUUAAUAAAAUUAAAAUGUAUUGAAA